AACAGGAAUAGAUAACUGUUGAAAAGGUGGUUCAGCAGGUAGAAUGGAUGAAUAGUCAGGAAAAGUAGUUAUCAUCUGUAGUAUAGGAAUUAAUAUCUCGGAGUAGUAUAAGGAGGAUGGGAGAGGGGAAGAAAAUGCCAGACUGCGAUAGUACUGAGCCGGGGAUAAGCUUGGUGCUAUCUCUUCUUCUUAGUUUUCUU
Molecule: long non-coding RNA, 200 nt
Filed under: Physcomitrium patens
Lineage: Eukaryota; Viridiplantae; Streptophyta; Bryopsida; Funariales; Funariaceae
Description: long non-coding RNA (PPAT_LNC010878)
Source: RNAcentral